RNAcentral lists this ribosomal RNA (1047 nucleotides) under Dothideomycetes sp. genotype 724 JMUR-2016. RNAcentral describes it as "eukaryotic LSU rRNA". The stretch from base 463 to 1047 matches the Rfam family "Eukaryotic large subunit ribosomal RNA", at positions 1 to 601 of the family's 3401-position model. The record is from RNAcentral. Lineage: Eukaryota; Fungi; Ascomycota; Dothideomycetes.
GGAUCAUUACCGAGUGAGCGCCUCCGGGCGCGACCUCCAACCCCAUUGUUAUCCGACCACGUUGCCUCGGGGGUGACCCGGCCUUCGGGCUGCGGGCCCCCGGUGGACCCCAAUCAAACACUGCAUCUUUGCGUCUGAGUACAUAUUGAAUCAAUCAAAACUUUCAACAACGGAUCUCUUGGUUCUGGCAUCGAUGAAGAACGCAGCGAAAUGCGAUAAGUAAUGUGAAUUGCAGAAUUCAGUGAAUCAUCGAAUCUUUGAACGCACAUUGCGCCCCCUGGCAUUCCGGGGGGCAUGCCUGUUCGAGCGUCAUUACACCACUCAAGCCUGGCUUGGUAUUGGGUGCCGCGGGAGACCGCGCGCCUUAAAGUCACCGGCUGGACCGUCCGUCUCCAAGCGUUGUGGCAACUAUCCGCUGACGAGACCCCGGGCGAUCCGGCCGUUAAACUUCCCAUCAAAGGUUGACCUCGGAUCAGGUAGGGAUACCCGCUGAACUUAAGCAUAUCAAUAAGCGGAGGAAAAGAAACCAACAGGGAUUGCCCUAGUAACGGCGAGUGAAGCGGCAACAGCUCAAAUUUGAAAUCUGGCGCAAGCCCGAGUUGUAAUUUGUAGAGGAUGCUUCUGGGCAGCGGCCGGUCUAAGUCCCUUGGAACAGGGCGUCAUAGAGGGUGAGAAUCCCGUAUGCGACCGGCUGGCACCCGUCACGUAGCUCCUUCGACGAGUCGAGUUGUUUGGGAAUGCAGCUCUAAAUGGGAGGUAAAUUCCUUCUAAAGCUAAAUACCGGCCAGAGACCGAUAGCGCACAAGUAGAGUGAUCGAAAGAUGAAAAGCACUUUGGAAAGAGAGUUAAAAAGCACGUGAAAUUGUUGAAAGGGAAGGGCAUGCAACCAGACUUGUCGGCGGUGUUCCGCCGGUCUUCUGACCGGUUCACUCGCCGCCGGCAGGCCAACAUCAUCUGGGUGCGUCGGAUAAAGGCGUCGGGAAUGUGGCCCCUCGGGGUGUUAUAGCCCGACGCACAAUACGACGCCGCCCGGGUGAGGUCCGCGCU